GUACAACUCAUCGGGAGAGAGUAGAGCGGCGGACGGGUGAGUAACGCGUAGGAAUCUACCCGGUAGUGGGGGACAACUUGGGGAAACUCAAGCUAAUACCGCAUACGCCCUAUGGGGGAAAGUGGGGGACCCUCGGGCCUCACGCUAUCGGAUGAGCCUGCGUAAGAUUAGCUAGUUGGUGAGGUAAAGGCUCACCAAGGCGACGAUCUUUAGCUGGUCUGAGAGGAUGAUCAGCCACACUGGGACUGAGACACGGCCCAGACUCCUACGGGAGGCAGCAGUGGGGAAUAUUGCGCAAUGGAGGCAACUCUGACGCUGCCAUGCCGCGUGUGUGAAGAAGGCCCUCGGGUUGUAAAGCACUUUCAAUUGGGAGAAAAAGCUUGUCGUUAAUAGCGGCAAGCCUUGAUGUUACCUUUAGAAGAAGCACCGGCUAACUCCGUGCCAGCAGCCGCGGUAAUACGGAGGGUGCGAGCGUUAAUCGGAAUUACUGGGCGUAAAGCGCGCGUAGGCGGUUGCUUAAGUCAGCUGUGAAAGCCCCGGGCUUAACCUGGGAACUGCAGUUGAUACUGGGCAACUAGAGUACGAGAGAGGGAGGUAGAAUUCCACGUGUAGCGGUGAAAUGCGUAGAUAUGUGGAGGAAUACCGGUGGC
This 650-nucleotide ribosomal RNA is filed under the name uncultured bacterium. RNAcentral's name for it is "bacterial SSU rRNA". It matches the Rfam family "Bacterial small subunit ribosomal RNA", at positions 68 to 716 of the family's 1533-position model. The record is from RNAcentral.